AGAGUUUGAUCAUGGCUCAGAUUGAACGCUGGCGGCAUGCCUAACACAUGCAAGUCGCACGCGAAAGGGGGCAACCCCGAGUAGAGUGGCGGACGGGUGCGUAAUACGCAGGAAUCUACCCACGAGUGGGGGACAACCCGGCGAAAGCCGGGCUAAUACCGCAUGAGACCUACGGGUGAAAGCGGGGGAUCGCAAGACCUCGCGCUGGUGGAUGAGCCUGCGUCCGAUUAGCUAGUUGGUAGGGUAAAGGCCUACCAAGGCAACGAUCGGUAGCUGGUCUGAGAGGACGACCAGCCACACUGGGACUGAGACACGGCCCAGACUCCUACGGGAGGCAGCAGUGGGGAAUAUUGGACAAUGGGGGCAACCCUGAUCCAGCAAUGCCGCGUGUGUGAAGAAGGCCUUCGGGUUGUAAAGCACUUUCGAUGGGGACAAACGUGUUGGACUUAAUACGUCCAGCCUUGAUGGUACCCAGAGAAGAAGCACCGGCUAACUCUGUGCCAGCAGCCGCGGUAAUACAGAGGGUGCAAGCGUUAAUCGGAAUUACUGGGCGUAAAGCGUGCGUAGGUGGUUGGAUAAGUCAGGUGUGAAAUCCCCGAGCUCAACUUGGGAAUUGCGCUUGAUACUGUCCGGCUAGAGUGUGGUAGAGGGUAGUGGAAUUCCGCAUGUAGCGGUGAAAUGCGUAGAUAUGCGGAGGAACAUCAGUGGCGAAGGCGGCUACCUGGACCAACACUGACACUGAGGCACGAAAGCGUGGGUAGCAAACAGGAUUAGAUACCCUGGUAGUCCACGCCCUAAACGAUGGGUACUAGACGUCGGAAAGUUUAUCUUUUUGGUGUCGCAGCUAACGCAAUAAGUACCCCGCCUGGGGAGUACGGUCGCAAGAUUAAAACUCAAAGGAAUUGACGGGGGCCCGCACAAGCGGUGGAGCAUGUGGUUUAAUUCGAUGCAACGCGAAAAACCUUACCUGGCCUUGACAUCUGGGGAAUCCUGCAGAGAUGCGGGAGUGCCGCAAGGAACCCCAAGACAGGUGCUGCAUGGCUGUCGUCAGCUCGUGUCG
Molecule: ribosomal RNA, 1060 nt
Filed under: uncultured gold mine bacterium D49
Lineage: Bacteria
Description: bacterial SSU rRNA
Rfam family: Bacterial small subunit ribosomal RNA
Source: RNAcentral